GGCUCCUUGGUCUAAAGGUCAGGACGUCGGCCUCUCAAGCCGGAAAUGUCGGGUUCAAGUCCCGCAGGAGCUA
RNAcentral lists this transfer RNA (73 nucleotides) under Acetatifactor sp. RNAcentral describes it as "tRNA-Glu". It matches the Rfam family "tRNA". From Rfam's summary of the family: Transfer RNA (tRNA) molecules are approximately 80 nucleotides in length. Their secondary structure includes four short double-helical elements and three loops (D, anti-codon, and T loops). Further hydrogen bonds mediate the characteristic L-shaped molecular structure. tRNAs have two regions of fundamental functional importance: the anti-codon, which is responsible for specific mRNA codon recognition, and the 3' end, to which the tRNAs corresponding amino acid is attached (by aminoacyl-tRNA synthetases). tRNAs cope with the degeneracy of the genetic code in two manners: having more than one tRNA (with a specific anti-codon) for a particular amino acid; and 'wobble' base-pairing, i.e. permitting non-standard base-pairing at the 3rd anti-codon position. The record is from RNAcentral. Lineage: Bacteria; Bacillati; Bacillota; Clostridia; Lachnospirales; Lachnospiraceae.